AGGUUACUGCUAUCGGUGUUCGCCUAAGCCAUGCGAGUCAUAUGUUCUUCGUGAACAUGGCGUACUGCUCAGUAACACGUGGAUAACCUGCCCUUGGGUCCGGCAUAACCCCGGGAAACUGGGGAUAAUUCCGGAUAACGCAUAUAUGCUGGAAUGCUUUCUGCGUAAAAUGGAUUCGUCUGCCCAAGGAUGGGUCUGCGGCCUAUCAGGUAGUAGUGGGUGUAAUGUACCUACUAGCCGACGACGGGUACGGGUUGUGAGAGCAAGAGCCCGGAGAUGGAUUCUGAGACAUGAAUCCAGGCCCUACGGGGCGCAGCAGGCGCGAAAACUUUACAAUGCGGGAAACCGUGAUAAGGGGACACCGAGUGCCAGCAUCAUAUGCUGGCUGUCCGGGUGUGUAAAAUACACCCGUUAGCAAGGGCCGGGCAAGACCGGUGCCAGCCGCCGCGGUAACACCGGCGGCCCGAGUGGUGAUCGUGAUUAUUGGGUCUAAAGGGUCCGUAGCCGGUUUGGUCAGUCCUCCGGGAAAUCUGAUAGCUCAACUAUUGGGCCUUCGGGGGAUACUGCCAAGCUUGGAACCGGGAGAGGUAACAGGUACUACAGGGGUAGGAGUGAAAUCUUGUAAUCCCUGUGGGACCACCUGUGGCGAAGGCGUCUUACCAGAACGGGUUCGACGGUGAGGGACGAAAGCUGGGGGCACGAACCGGAUUAGAUACCCGGGUAGUCCCAGCCGUAAACGAUGCUCGCUAGGUGUCAGGCAUGGCGCGACCGUGUCUGGUGCCGCAGGGAAGCCGUGAAGCGAGCCACCUGGGAAGUACGGCCGCAAGGCUGAAACUUAA
This 839-nucleotide ribosomal RNA is filed under the name uncultured archaeon. RNAcentral's name for it is "bacterial SSU rRNA". It matches the Rfam family "Archaeal small subunit ribosomal RNA", at positions 21 to 859 of the family's 1478-position model. The record is from RNAcentral.